UUGAAUAAACCUGAUGAGUUGUAGCUGGCUCCUAGGAGCAUGUGCACGCUUGUCAUCUUUAUCUAUCCACCUGUGCACAAUCUGUAGUCUUCGGGGGGAAUUAAACGUUCUCUCUCGAGUCUAUGUGUUUUUCAUACACUACAUAGCAUGUCGCAGAAUGUAUCUAUUGGGCUUCUAUGCCUAUAAAACGUUAUAUA
This 197-nucleotide unclassified non-coding RNA is filed under the name uncultured Agaricales. RNAcentral describes it as "sequence contains ITS1". The record is from RNAcentral. Lineage: Eukaryota; Fungi; Basidiomycota; Agaricomycetes; Agaricales.